Molecule: ribosomal RNA, 318 nt
Filed under: uncultured bacterium
Lineage: Bacteria
Description: bacterial SSU rRNA
Rfam family: Bacterial small subunit ribosomal RNA
Source: RNAcentral
AAUAAACGCUGGCGGCGUGCCUAACACAUGCAAGUCGAGCGAGAAAGCUCCUUCGGGAGUGAGUACAGCGGCGGACGGUUGAGUAACACGUGAGAAUCUACCCUUUAGUGAAGGAUACCCUCGAGAAAUCGAGGUUAAUACUGCAUACGUCCCUGCGGGGAGAAAGGCGGCCUCUUUGCUGUCGCUAAAGGAUGAGCUUGCGGCCUAUCAGCUAGUUGGUGAGGUAAAGGCUCACCAAGGCAAUGACGGGUAGCCGGCCUGAGAGGGUGUUCGGCCAGAUUGGAACUGAGAUACGGUCCAGACUCCUACGGGUGGCUG